AGCAGCAGCCGCGGUAAUACGUAGGGUGCGAGCGUUAAUCGGAAUUACUGGGCGUAAAGGGCGCGUAGGCGGAUUGUUUAGUUAGGCGUGAAAUUCCUGGGCUUAACCUGGGGACUGCGCUUAAUACAGGCAGUCUAGAGUGAGGAAGAGGGUUGUGGAAUUCCCAGUGUAGAGGUGAAAUUCGUAGAUAUUGGGAAGAACACCGGUGGCGAAGGCGGCAACCUGGUCCUUGACUGACGCUGAGGCGCGAAAGCGUGGGGAGCAAACAGGAUUAGAUACCCCCGUAGUCCCUGUCUCUUAUAC
This 303-nucleotide ribosomal RNA is filed under the name uncultured bacterium. RNAcentral's name for it is "partial 16S ribosomal RNA". It matches the Rfam family "Bacterial small subunit ribosomal RNA", at positions 507 to 807 of the family's 1533-position model. The record is from RNAcentral.